Molecule: non-coding RNA, 72 nt
Organism: Stegodyphus mimosarum
Lineage: Eukaryota; Metazoa; Arthropoda; Arachnida; Araneae; Eresidae
Source: Rfam
GUCUUCGUGGUGUAAUGGUCAGCACACUGAGCCGGUAAUUCAGAGGUCCGUGGUUCGAUCCCGGCGAAGGCA